AGUGGAAUAACUGGGUCAAAUGGUGGUCCCAUUUCAAGUUUUCUGAGGGAUGUCCACACUGUUUUCAAGAGUGUUUGUACCAAUUUGCAGUCCCACCAGCAAG
RNAcentral lists this microRNA precursor (103 nucleotides) under Marmota monax (woodchuck). The record is from RNAcentral. Lineage: Eukaryota; Metazoa; Chordata; Mammalia; Rodentia; Sciuridae.